GGUGUGGCUCAGCGGCAGAGCAUUCUUCUAGCAUAUGGCAGGACUGGGUUCAACUCCCAGCACC
RNAcentral lists this transfer RNA (64 nucleotides) under Fukomys damarensis (Damara mole-rat). It matches the Rfam family "tRNA". Rfam says of the family: Transfer RNA (tRNA) molecules are approximately 80 nucleotides in length. Their secondary structure includes four short double-helical elements and three loops (D, anti-codon, and T loops). The record is from Rfam by way of RNAcentral. Lineage: Eukaryota; Metazoa; Chordata; Mammalia; Rodentia; Bathyergidae.